This 407-nucleotide ribosomal RNA is filed under the name Pantoea allii. RNAcentral's name for it is "bacterial SSU rRNA". It matches the Rfam family "Bacterial small subunit ribosomal RNA", at positions 56 to 459 of the family's 1533-position model. Lineage: Bacteria; Pseudomonadati; Pseudomonadota; Gammaproteobacteria; Enterobacterales; Erwiniaceae. The record is from RNAcentral.
UGCAAGUCGGACGGUAGCACAGAGGAGCUUGCUCCUCGGGUGACGAGUGGCGGACGGGUGAGUAAUGUCUGGGGAUCUGCCCGAUAGAGGGGGAUAACCACUGGAAACGGUGGCUAAUACCGCAUAACGUCGCAAGACCAAAGAGGGGGACCUUCGGGCCUCUCACUAUCGGAUGAACCCAGAUGGGAUUAGCUAGUAGGCGGGGUAACGGCCCACCUAGGCGACGAUCCCUAGCUGGUCUGAGAGGAUGACCAGCCACACUGGAACUGAGACACGGUCCAGACUCCUACGGGAGGCAGCAGUGGGGAAUAUUGCACAAUGGGCGCAAGCCUGAUGCAGCCAUGCCGCGUGUAUGAAGAAGGCCUUCGGGUUGUAAAGUACUUUCAGCGGGGAGGAAGGCAAUGAGG